GGCAUUAAAAUAUUUAUUUUAUUUACAGGAAUGCACCUAAAAUUAUAGAGACGUCUGGAGUUCAUUUUCAGGCAAUGUAUGAGCAUCUGGGAGAGCUGCUCACAGUCUUAAUCACUCUUGAUG
RNAcentral lists this long non-coding RNA (123 nucleotides) under Columba livia (rock pigeon). RNAcentral describes it as "partial uncharacterized LOC102087198". The record is from RNAcentral. Lineage: Eukaryota; Metazoa; Chordata; Aves; Columbiformes; Columbidae.